UCUUUUUUCUUCUUCUAUUCUUCUUCUUCUAUUCUUCUUCGUCUUCUCUCUGGCGAUUCUGAGAGUCUUUUCUGAAGCUGUGAAAUCAAAAAGAAACUUAGGGGAAUCAAUUAUUUAGUUUGAUAGAUGAAAAGUGGUGAUUGUUCUGUGAAUCUUUGAAGAAGAAGAUGGUUUUGAUAAUGAAUCGAAAACAGUUGAUCUUUAUUAACAACGGUCGAUCUAAAGAAUGAACCAGUGGAUUGUACAUCUCGAGGUAGGUGAGGCUUGUCAUCAAAAGAGAGUGCGCAUAGAAUAAGGUACUGGUAAGCUACAUAUCAUUUAUGACUUGAGGACGGAAACCUCAUGGGCGCCUUAAUGAUCAUUGAAGAAUCUGCGACAGUCAUGCCUUGCUACUCCGAAGGAAGACGUCGCUCAACUACUAUUUAUGUUGUGAAUGUGUGCCGGUUUAUUGUUUCAGAGACAGAUCAGAGUUGGGCAGCGAAA
Molecule: long non-coding RNA, 483 nt
Organism: Papaver somniferum (opium poppy)
Lineage: Eukaryota; Viridiplantae; Streptophyta; Magnoliopsida; Ranunculales; Papaveraceae
Exons: 4
Source: RefSeq, a predicted model, not a curated record